Molecule: ribosomal RNA, 497 nt
Filed under: uncultured bacterium
Lineage: Bacteria
Description: partial 16S ribosomal RNA
Rfam family: Bacterial small subunit ribosomal RNA
Source: RNAcentral
GAUGAACGCUGGUGGCGUGCCUAAUACAUGCAAGUCGAGCGAACAGACGAGGAGCUUGCUCCUCUGACGUUAGCGGCGGACGGGUGAGUAACACGUGGAUAACCUACCUAUAAGACUGGGAUAACUUCGGGAAACCGGAGCUAAUACCGGAUAAUAUAUUGAACCGCAUGGUUCAAUAGUGAAGGACGGUUUUGCUGUCACUUAUAGAUGGAUCCGCGCCGCAUUAGCUAGUUGGUAAGGUAACGGCUUACCAAGGCAACGAUGCGUAGCCGACCUGAGAGGGUGAUCGGCCACACUGGAACUGAGACACGGUCCAGACUCCUACGGGAGGCAGCAGUAGGGAAUCUUCCGCAAUGGGCGAAAGCCUGACGGAGCAACGCCGCGUGAGUGAUGAAGGUCUUCGGAUCGUAAAACUCUGUUAUUAGGGAAGAACAAAUGUGUAAGUAACUAUGCACGUCUUGACGGUACCUAAUCAGAAAGCCACGGCUAACUACGUG